ACGACUCUCGGCAACGGAUAUCUCGGCUCUCGCAUCGAUGAAGAACGUAGCGAAAUGCGAUACUUGGUGUGAAUUGCAGAAUCCCGUGAACCAUCGAGUCUUUGAACGCAAGUUGCGCCCGAAGCCAUCAGGCCGAGGGCACGCCUGCCUGGGCGUCA
This 158-nucleotide ribosomal RNA is filed under the name Scutellaria baicalensis. RNAcentral's name for it is "5.8S ribosomal RNA". It matches the Rfam family "5.8S ribosomal RNA". From Rfam's summary of the family: 5.8S ribosomal RNA (5.8S rRNA) is a component of the large subunit of the eukaryotic ribosome. It is transcribed by RNA polymerase I as part of the 45S precursor that also contains 18S and 28S rRNA. Lineage: Eukaryota; Viridiplantae; Streptophyta; Magnoliopsida; Lamiales; Lamiaceae. The record is from RNAcentral.